RNAcentral lists this ribosomal RNA (400 nucleotides) under uncultured bacterium. Its description in RNAcentral is "bacterial SSU rRNA". It matches the Rfam family "Bacterial small subunit ribosomal RNA", at positions 356 to 773 of the family's 1533-position model. The record is from RNAcentral.
GGGGAAUCUUAGACAAUGGGGGCAACCCUGAUCUAGCCAUGCCGCGUGAGUGAUGAAGGCCUUAGGGUUGUAAAGCUCUUUCAGCUGGGAAGAUAAUGACGGUACCAGCAGAAAAAGCCCCGGCUAACUCCGUGCCAGCAGCCGCGGUAAUACGGAGGGGGCUAGCGUUGUUCGGAAUUACUGGGCGUAAAGCGCACGUAGGCGGACUGGAAAGUCAGAGGUGAAAUCCCAGGGCUCAACCUUGGAACUGCCUUUGAAACUAUCAGUCUGGAGUUCGAGAGAGGUGAGUGGAAUUCCGAGUGUAGAGGUGAAAUUCGUAGAUAUUCGGAGGAACACCAGUGGCGAAGGCGGCUCACUGGCUCGAGACUGACGCUGAGGUGCGAAAGCGUGGGGAGCAAAC